Molecule: long non-coding RNA, 1313 nt
Organism: Zingiber officinale
Lineage: Eukaryota; Viridiplantae; Streptophyta; Magnoliopsida; Zingiberales; Zingiberaceae
Exons: 3
Source: RefSeq, a predicted model, not a curated record
GCGUUUGGGUGUAUACGGGCGAGCGCACGCCGAAGGAUUCGCCGGCGAUGAUGCGGACGUCGACGCCGUCCUUCUCCACCCUGCUUAUUUCCUGGCUUUGCAAUUCCUGGUAUCUCGGCUCCAUCCUGGGUAGCGGGAGCGAGAAAGGGGGAAACUUACAUUUUGUCUUUGGAAGAGAGAUUGAUCCAUAACUGCAAUCCUUGGUUUUCGCCGUCGGCAGCCGGCAUCUCUGAGUGCACGAUCCCUCUUCCAGCAGUCAUCCACUAGAGUUCAGUUCGGAGAAGACAAGCAUUAGUUGGAACUCUGUAAACCCUAAAUUCUUACUCUGUUUCAGAAAUCACCUGCAGAUCUCCUGCCCUGAUUGUGCCUUCGUGACCAGCGAAAUCUUGGUGAGUGAAAGCUCCCUGCAUGAUGCAAGCCAUAGGAAAUCGGAAUCACCGAGGCAAUCAGCGAUAAACAAAUUAGGGGAAAAUCUUAUGUGAAUUGCUGCUACCUUCAGCAUGUACGUCACUGUCUCAAAACCUGACAAAACGAAAUUGAGGAGAAGAUUUUUAGAUGUAUCGAUCGGAGAGAACUCCUUGGGGCAAUGAACAAGAGCAGAGUUUCACGAACCUCUGUGGGGAUGAUCCGGGAAUCCAGCAGGAGCGGAAACUGCGAAAGAGAAAUCUCUGAGAACCAGCAAUUAAGAACUAAAACUGGGCAAAAUCGAAAGAAUCGUUCACAAAUUUCAAACCUGUGAACUCGUCCAGCAUCAAAAAAGGAUCCAAGUUCCUCAAUUCCGGCCUGGAGAUCCACAAAAUUUAAAAACCCACACACACACAAAACAGCAACACGUAAAUCGCAGAAGCAAACAAAUAGGCGGAUGUGGGAUCGAUCGCUGACCUUCCAAUGCUUCUCCGGACGGAAGCACCAUCGCCGUCUUCUUGCGACUUGGCGAGGACCUUCUUCACCACCAGCCUGGGCUUCUCAAAGCUCGGGGCGCCGUGAUCUGCCAUGGAACUGAGAUCGUGGAAGAACAAAAGACAAGGAGGCAGAAGGCAAAAGACGCUGAUGAGGAUGAUGAAGGGCUUGAUUGAGGCAGAUCUGGAGUGGGGAUUGAAAUUUAUACCAGCGCAGGGCCGCCUUGUCAUGUUCUUAAUGCGCGUGCGUUUGGCAGCCUUACGGGAGAAUGACGGAAGCCCUCGAUUCAUGCCACCUCGGAUUAACGACAUGACUUGUAUCGGAUAAUUUUAAUUUCUAUAUUUUUCAUUAAAGGAAAUAAUGAAAGGCAAAAAACUAGAUGAAUAUUUUUUCACCACAUUUUACUAAACCCC